ACACAUGUGGAUGACCGCCCGUCAAGUAACCAGUCCACACCGGUCUGCUGUUGGGGGAGGGAAGGGGAAAGAGUAGAUAAAUGGCCUACAUGAUUGAUUUCAACUAAGACCAAAAUCUUGGAGGACAAUUAUUGGAUUUACUCACUGUUUGUUUUUGCAACAUUUCGGAAAUUGGCAAAAGAAAAAAAAAGUUUACAAAGCUGAAGAGGCGUGUGGCAGCUAAGAAGUUGAUUUUCUUGCAAAGCCAUCUAAAUAUUCCUGAGCCACCAUGGAACUUCUGUCAGGCUCUUCAGUUCACUAUCUAAAACACCCACAGAAAAUCAGCCCUGUUAUUCAAGGAGGGGAAAUCCAUGAGACAACUGUAUACACGGAGUGUUUGUGGAUACUUUGUGUUUUAUCAUGACCAACUUCAAUUUAUUGUCUUAGUUCUGAUGAAUAAAAUCUUAUUCAUUGCCUUAAAGAGAA
Long non-coding RNA from Oryctolagus cuniculus (rabbit), 465 nucleotides. RefSeq lists it as uncharacterized. NCBI's taxonomy places the organism in Eukaryota, Metazoa, Chordata, Mammalia, Lagomorpha, Leporidae. The record is from RefSeq and is a predicted model, not a curated record.